GGCCAAAGAAGAUGUGGAGCAUAGACAAUGGAGAAGUUUUUGUUAAGAAACAGACAAAAUGUUUUCUGUCCUGAAGAAGGAAGAGGAGGAUAAAGAAGUAGCAGAGGACAACAUGGAAGGAAAACAGAACAAAAGCAAGUUUCACAGUACUCUGCAGUGUUCUACUCCUGUAAGCUUACAGCAGUCACUGCUGGAAUCAGGAACAGAAGAAUGUGCUUCUACCUGUCCAGUGUCAGUCUAUGUCAUGAGGAUGUGCUUGGACAUGAGGACCUGGGAAGAUGAGAGAGCUGCAGGCACUGAUGGCUUUGAAGUCAACUCCAACAGGACUCCUGCAUCUUCAUUUAGGUACCAAAAUCAAAGGCUUCCUCACCAGCAGUGCUAUAAGGUCAUGCAUGUUGAUAUUCAGAUUGGACCUAAUGCAGAACAAACUCUUCUGGAGAAAAAUCACCUCCUCUCCUGUUAGCCAUGCCUUACUUCCUGAUGCAGAAAAGGAUUUGGAGGCUCAGAGUGGGAAUUGGCAUCUUCACAAUGAGCAGAGCACCAGCAUUACACUAAUGAGCUGCCUGGCAUAUUCACCUGUGUACCACUCCACUGAAGCCCUUCUCUUUCAUGGUAUGCUGUGCAGAGUGAAGGCAGAGGCAUUGAGGCAGCUCAGGUGGAUGAAAGCCCCCUCAGACUUCGCUGAACAUGACAUAGCCUCCUUCCAUUCUUUCACACCUGCAAGCAAAUGUCUUGAGCCAUGUGGACACAGUCAGGUGAUCCUUGCCUUAGAAGAUCUUCUUACACAUGCUGACACCAAGGCUGCAGAGCAAGUCUUUCCUGAUUUCAUGGUACAGAUGUAAAGGCUGCUUCAUGCAAGUCUGUCCGUUAAACACUUGAUGCCCCACUCACUGCUGGAGCUGCUCUGAAGUCUUCAUAGGAGAUAAAACCAAACAAUGCCUCAAAGUGCUUUUAGAAGAUGCAGAUCCACUACAGCUCUUUCCUUUUCUAGGGAUAGGUUUUACUGGAAACGUUUGGCAGACAGUCAGAAGAUGGUGAGUACCAACAGGUUUCACUGCUGCAUUCACUUUGCUGGGAGAUGCCAUGGAAUGUAAACUUCUCUAAUGACAGCUCCUUCAAACCCUUUUCAGUCUUGUCAAGAUUCCUUAUUAAUAGCAGAGAAGUAAUCUUAGUCCUUUCAGUGGCAGCAAUUCUCUAGGCAACUGCUGAAUUUGUAAGAAUACAGAUGGUGCCUGCCAUUUCUUUUUUUUUCAGUACCACACUGCAUUCCUCACCUGACAUGUGGAACUUGUUUGCUACCAUAAUGCGUCAGCUGCAGACACUUUUCUUAGAGGUAAAAGCAGUUUUGCUUGCAUUUUUCUUGGCAUCAUUGAAUUUUGCCCACCUGCAGGCAAGAUUAAUUUUUUUUCCCCUUCUGAGAUAGCAGAGCUCGUGAUGGUGAUCUGAUUUGAAACUUGUUGGCACUAUGCCUUUUCCUCUCUGCCUCUGUGAACUGAUAGAGCUAAGCAUCGCUCUCCUUGUAAACAGCAAAAAAAAAAAACCAAAAA
RNAcentral lists this long non-coding RNA (1547 nucleotides) under Numida meleagris (helmeted guineafowl). Its description in RNAcentral is "lncRNA (ENSNMEG00000019218.1)". Lineage: Eukaryota; Metazoa; Chordata; Aves; Galliformes; Numididae. The record is from RNAcentral.